This is a non-coding RNA of Phascolarctos cinereus (koala), 3677 nucleotides long. The record is from RefSeq and is a predicted model, not a curated record. NCBI's taxonomy places the organism in Eukaryota, Metazoa, Chordata, Mammalia, Diprotodontia, Phascolarctidae.
UUGAAGAAAAUAUGGAAUGUGACAUGGGAGAGGACAGCCCUGAGGAUCCUUGUCGUGUGACACAGUUGUGGGAAGAAAAUCUUACAGCUUCUUGGGUAAUAGGAAAAGAGCCCUUCAUCCACCCUUGUCUUCCAGUUCCAGUCCAUUUUGCAUCAAGAAAGGUCCAGUGAAGACUCCUUUUGGGAAAUGUCUAUUCUGAAGCAGGAAAAGAUGUACAGGAUAAAUAAUGUUGGAGGAGAAGGCAAGGACCAGAGGGUGAAGGAAACAUGGAUUUUAAAAAAUUGAGAUGAUUAGAGAACUCAGGGCAAACAGAGAGCUGAGAAGACAGUAAAUUGGUGACCAGUCUGUGACAGCAUUUUGUGAAAGCUGAUAGGAAAAUGUGAUUAUUAUUAGAUUGGUUCUUUAGCCUCAGGUAUUUGUGUCUCUGCUACAUUCAUGUCAUAAACUCUCUUCACAUUAAUAUUCACUAUCACUUUUAUCCUUAGUGAAUGAUGGCUCUUUUGCCUCUGUUCUUACAGUGCUUCCAUGGAUGAAUAAAAAUAUAUAACACUUGCCAAAACCUAGAAAGCACAAUCUAUUUAUUUAUAGGUAAUCAUGUAAAAUGACCUCUUUAUAUGUUUUAAGACUCUGUAAUGUUAAACACCUAGACUGUUGCUUUUCCAUGUAUUAAUAAAUAUUCUUCAUGGUAUAAAAAUGUUCCCACUUUUGUGGUCAAUUUUCAGUUGUGAAAGCAUGAAGUUUUAGAAUACUGAGAGUUUUUCCCCUUUUUCAAAGAAGAGAUAGUUUAAUAAUUAUAAUAGCUAUAGUAUAGUUUAUGUCUUGAUUUCUCUCUUUAUGAUAGUUUUUAUUUUUACUAAUCUUGUGCAGUACAUAGCAAACUAAGAGCUUUUAUGUGUUGUGUAUAAAUAUGGAACAUUAUGGCUAUUUUAAACUUCUAUUACUCUUAAGCUGAUGUAACUAGUUCCUGUUUGGGUCUGAAGGCAGAAUACAAUGCCAGUUUAUUUUAUGAGUUGUAAUUCCAUCUUUGAGGGAAAGAAAGCAGGUAAACAAAAUUGCCAUGAUAACUUUUGGCAAGUGUCAAAGAAUGUGGGACCAUACUGUUCUCCAUUCCUUAUAUAGGAAGAACAGAGUGUCAUUUAAAUAUUUUUAAUUUUUUGGGCAUGUAGCUGGCCAUUUAAGUUCUCGAGGAAAAAAUGGAUUCUAAACACAUGCCUCCCACUGUUCUCAGUUGUUUGAAUUGCUCAUCAAAACUCUAAAAAUUAAAGAAUUUUGAGGCAAGGUUAAAAAAUAGUAACUGCAGGCAAGAAUUUGCUUUUCCUAUCAGUAUUUUUGCAAAGAGAAUUGCCUAGCUUCCCAGCAAUACACGAUAUGUUCAGUUCUGAACAUGGACUUAUUAAUGAAAGCACAUUUUGUGGUUUCUUUUAUUGCAUUUAAAAAAAUUUUUGAUAUGUCUGCCUAUGACUGUUUUAUCCUGAAAUUUUAAAUUGUUAAUUAAUACUGUAAAUAAUUUAUGCUAAUGUUAAUUGACUUAAAUAGUCCUCAAAAUGCCUAUAAUCCAAGAGAAAUAUUUUGGUGGGCAGUGUGAUAGAGGAUUAGCAGUUAGGAUGAUGAAGAACGUAUAUUAUCCAAAAUCAUUAUUGUAGCUAAUAGUUUCAGUUUCCUCAUUAAGACUAUUUCCUUUUUCCAGCCUUAUUUUUUCUAAUACUAGAUGCUAAGCUUCCAACACAGAACAAAACUGACAAGCUUUAAUUUUUUUUUUAAUUUUUAAUUUUCUUUUUAGCAUUUUCUUUUAAAAAAAUCUCUCCUCCCUUACUCCAGCCAUACCUAAUGGUUAAGAAGCAGGAAAAUGAGAAGCAGCAUAAAGGAAAUGGAGAUAAACUGUGAGUAACCCAUGGGUAGCUCAUGAGUAGAAUAGGAUGUUUAUUGUAGUCUGGUAGAAAGAUGAAUGAAAUCAAGAGAUGAGUUCUAAUCCUGGCUCUGCCAAUAAUUCACUGAAUGACCUUGAAGCAUGCCAUGGAAAUUUCUUUCAGCCUCAAUUUCCUCAUCUGUAAAAUAUCAGGACUGGACUUGUUUUGUGAAGUUGAUAGUGUUGAUAUGUAUCAGUGUAAAUGUUAUGAAGAAAUUUGGCAUUUCUUUCUUAACUAGAUUAUUUGAGUGUCUUCAUCACUUUUUGAAAGAGAAAAUCAUUCUGGUAGCAAAUAGCUGUGGGUAUUUCCAGUGAACAGCUCAUUUUGUUAUUCUCCAGUGCUAUAUAAGUGUAAAUUAUAAUGUAGGAUUAAAGUCACAAUGAAAGAGUUGUCAGAUAAGGAAAUUCCUUUGUCAAAAACCAACCACAUAUUGUUAGUGUUAUAUUAAUAGGCACAGCUUUUGAAACUACCUUUGUACAGUUUCACAGAAUACUUAAUAAAUACUCAAUAAAUUACCUUUUAGUAAUGCAUAGUUUACUUGAGAAAAUAAUUUUGUAAAUGUGAUAGAGAUUAAUUCUUUUGACAAGGUUGGAUACCUUCUAUGAUAUAGGUCAGGUAAUUUGCAUAAAAGGCCAUUAGACAGAAUUUCUAGGAGAAUUAGGCCAUUAUUGCACCCCUCCAUUCCUCUUAAAAAGUUCAGGUUAUCCUCCAGGCAACUCAGAAUUGUCUUACCCUAAAUCAUGGUUUCUUUUCAGGAGUAAUAAUACUGUUACAUAUUUGGGUUUUAAGAUCAAGUUUAUUUGUUUAUUUAUUUUUGGCUUAUGCCAAAUCAACACAGGAUUGCUAGUGCAUUCUUUUCUAAAUUUCUAAAAAAAGUCUAUUUUCCUAUAUUAUAGUUAAUUCAAAUGCAUAGUACUUUCAGUACAUUUGGUGCUAUGUAUAUAGUAUACUUUCAGUAACUACAUAUAUAGCAAAGUCCAUAAAUACAUUAUAAACCAUUGAUCCUUAUUUAAUAUUUGUAUUUUUUAAAUGCCUGUUUUAUUGGGGAUCAUAUAUUAUCCUGUCUAUAUCACAGAGUUAUGGGGAUUAAAUCAGAUAGUGGGUUUUGAAAACAAAGCCCCUCUAUGAGUAUAAAGUAGGUUGUUGUGAGGAGACUCUGAAGUGUUAGAUAACUGUACUGUUUUUAAGGGAACUUUCAAUGACUAAAAGUUUUUGGGGGAAUGUGUGUUGUCUUAUUUUCUCAAGAGAUGUAGACUUUACACAUCAUUUACUUGUGCAUUAUUGUUGGAGAUUAAGAAUCACCAGUAAUGUAAAUUAUAAUUUUCCUGCUUUGCUGUAUUGGAAACUGAGGUGCAUAAAGGUUAAAUGAUUUUAGCACUAUUACAGGAUGAAUUAGCAGAAAGAUAUAUAUGUAUAAAGGGUUAAAAAAACUUUGACAAAUAGAAAUUUUAGCCUUAUAAGCAUGAUUUCAUUGGGAUUAUGUCUGGUUCAACAAUGUGCUAUAACGCUUUUUAGCUAAGAUCUCAGUAUAAGAUUAUAUAGGUUUUUUCAUUUGGAGUCAAAGUUGUGUACUCCAAAUGAGGGUGGCAAUAGUGGAAACAGAUAGUGGUAUCGUUGCUUUUAGCUUUCCAAUCCUGAGUUAGGUGAAUGAUAGAAAUUCUACAAGGAACUUUCUUUUCAAUCACUUUGUGUAUGUAUGAGUAUGCAUGUGUGCUAUAUUAUCAUUUAUGAUUUUGUGUUUCUUAAAUAAACUUGCAUCAUUUUUGAGCA